RNAcentral lists this ribosomal RNA (692 nucleotides) under Escherichia coli. RNAcentral describes it as "partial 23S ribosomal RNA". It matches the Rfam family "Bacterial large subunit ribosomal RNA", at positions 1 to 726 of the family's 2925-position model. Lineage: Bacteria; Pseudomonadati; Pseudomonadota; Gammaproteobacteria; Enterobacterales; Enterobacteriaceae. The record is from RNAcentral.
GGGUUGUGAGGUUAAGCGACUAAGCGUACACGGUGGAUGCCCUGGCAGUCAGAGGCGAUGAAGGACGUGCUAAUCUGCGAUAAGCGUCGGUAAGGUGAUAUGAACCGUUAUAACCGGCGAUUUCCGAAUGGGGAAACCCAGUGUGAUUUGUCACACUAUCAUUAACUGAAUCCAUAGGUUAAUGAGGCGAACCGGGGGAACUGAAACAUCUAAGUACCCCGAGGAAAAGAAAUCAACCGAGAUUCCCCCAGUAGCGGCGAGCGAACGGGGAGGAGCCCAGAGCCUGAAUCAGUGUGUGUGUUAGUGGAAGCGUCUGGAAAGGCGCGCGAUACAGGGUGACAGCCCCGUACACAAAAAUGCACAUGCUGUGAGCUCGAUGAGUAGGGCGGGACACGUGGUAUCCUGUCUGAAUAUGGGGGGACCAUCCUCCAAGGCUAAAUACUCCUGACUGACCGAUAGUGAACCAGUACCGUGAGGGAAAGGCGAAAAGAACCCCGGCGAGGGGAGUGAAAAAGAACCUGAAACCGUGUACGUACAAGCAGUGGGAGCACGCUUCGGCGUGUGACUGCGUACCUUUUGUAUAAUGGGUCAGCGACUUAUAUUCUGUAGCAAGGUUAACCGAAUAGGGGAGCCGAAGGGAAACCGAGUCUUAACUGGGCGUUAAGUUGCAGGGUAUAGACCCGAAACCCGGU